GCCUAAAGCGUCCGUAGCCGGCUUUGUAAGUUUUCGGUUAAAUCCAUAUGCUCAACAUAUGGGCCGCCGGGAAUACUGCAUAGCUAGGGAGUGGGAGAGGUAGACGGUACUCCGUAGGAAGGGGUAAAAUCCUUUGAUCUAUGGAUGACCACCUGUGGCGAAGGCGGUCUACCAGAACACGUUCGACGGUGAGGGAUGAAAGCUGGGGGAGCAAACCGGAUUAGAUACCCGGGUAGUCCCAGCUGUAAACUAUGCAAACUCAGUGAUGCAUUGGCUUGUGGCCAGUGCAGUGCCGCAGAGAAGUCGUUAAGUUUGCCGCCUGGGAAGUACGUACGCAAGUAUGAAACUUAAAGGAAUUGGCGGGGGAGCACCACAAGGGGUGAAGCCUGCGGUUCAAUUGGAGUCAACGCCAGAAAUCUUACCCGGAGAGACAGCAGGAUGAAGGUCAAGUUGAAGCCUUUACCAGACAAGCUGAGAAGUGGUGCAUGGCCGUCGCCAGCUCGUGCCGUGAGGUGUCCUGUUAAGUCAGGUAACGAGCGAGAUCCUUGCCUCUAGUUGCUACCAUUACUCUCAGGAGUAGUGGGGCGAAUUAGCGGGACUGCCGUAGUUAAUACGGAGGAAGGAGAGGGCCACGGCAGGUCAGUAUGCCCCGAA
Molecule: ribosomal RNA, 654 nt
Filed under: uncultured archaeon
Lineage: Archaea
Description: bacterial SSU rRNA
Rfam family: Archaeal small subunit ribosomal RNA
Source: RNAcentral